RNAcentral lists this microRNA precursor (150 nucleotides) under Cucumis sativus (cucumber). RNAcentral's name for it is "MIR394 microRNA precursor family". It matches the Rfam family "MIR394 microRNA precursor family". Lineage: Eukaryota; Viridiplantae; Streptophyta; Magnoliopsida; Cucurbitales; Cucurbitaceae. The record is from Rfam by way of RNAcentral.
CCAACAGAAUUUAUUGGCAUUCUGUCCACCUCCUCCACAUAUUAAUUUAUAUUUAUAUAUACAUAUAUAUAUAUAUACUUUAAUUUGUGUGUGUUUAUUGUUAUAAUUAAUGGUUUGGAGGUGGGCAUACUGCCAAUUGAGUUCUCUUUG